This 200-nucleotide ribosomal RNA is filed under the name uncultured bacterium. RNAcentral's name for it is "partial 16S ribosomal RNA". It matches the Rfam family "Bacterial small subunit ribosomal RNA", at positions 8 to 208 of the family's 1533-position model. The record is from RNAcentral.
AGAGUUUGAUCCUGGCUCAGGACGAACGCUGGCGGCGUGCUUAACACAUGCAAGUCGAGCGGUGAAGCCCUUUCGGGGGUGGAUCAGCGGCGAACGGGUGAGUAACACGUGGGCAACCUGCCCCUAACACUGGGAUAACUCCGGGAAACCGGGGCUAAUACCGGAUACGACUUCGAGCGGCAUCGCUUGAAGUGGAAAGU